Molecule: ribosomal RNA, 444 nt
Filed under: uncultured bacterium
Lineage: Bacteria
Description: SSU rRNA
Rfam family: Bacterial small subunit ribosomal RNA
Source: RNAcentral
AGAACGAACGCUGGCGGCAGGCUUAACACAUGCAAGUCGAGCGCCCAGCAAUGGGAGCGGCGGACGGGUGAGUAACACGUGGGAACAUGCCUUUCGGUACGGAACAACUUCGGGAAACUGAAGCUAAUGCCGUAUGCGCCCUUACGGGGAAAGAUUUAUCGCCGAAAGAUUGGCCCGCGUCUGAUUAGCUAGUUGGUGAGGUAACGGCUCACCAAGGCUUCGAUCAGUAGCUGGUUUGAGAGAACGACCAGCCACACUGGGACUGAGACACGGCCCAGACUCCUACGGGAGGCAGCAGUGGGGAAUCUUGGACAAUGGAGGAAACUCUGAUCCAGCCAUGCCGCGUGAGUGAUGAAGGCCUUCGGGUUGUAAAACUCUUUUACCAGGGAAGAUAAUGACUGUACCUGGAGAAUAAGCCCCGGCUAACUUCGCGCCAGCAGCCGC